RNAcentral lists this non-coding RNA (24 nucleotides) under Cricetulus griseus (Chinese hamster). The record is from RNAcentral. Lineage: Eukaryota; Metazoa; Chordata; Mammalia; Rodentia; Cricetidae.
UAAUUACUUUUGUAAGGAAGCUGU